UGGGGAAUAUUGGACAAUGGGGGCAACCCUGAUCCAGCAAUGCCGCGUGUGUGAAGAAGGUCUUCGGAUUGUAAAGCACUUUCGACGGGGACGAUGAUGACGGUACCCGUAGAAGAAGCCCCGGCUAACUUCGUGCCAGCAGCCGCGGUAAUACGAAGGGGGCUAGCGUUGCUCGGAAUGACUGGGCGUAAAGGGCGUGUAGGCGGUUUACACAGUCAGAUGUGAAAUCCCCGGGCUUAACCUGGGAGCUGCAUUUGAUACGUGUAGACUAGAGUGUGAGAGAGGGUUGUGGAAUUCCCAGUGUAGAGGUGAAAUUCGUAGAUAUUGGGAAGAACACCGGUGGCGAAGGCGGCAACCUGGCUCAUGACUGACGCUGAGGCGCGAAAAGCGUGGGGAGCAAACAGGUUAGAUACCCUGGUAGUCCACGCUGUAAACGAUGUGUGCUAGAUGUUGGGUAACUUU
This 462-nucleotide ribosomal RNA is filed under the name uncultured bacterium. RNAcentral describes it as "partial 16S ribosomal RNA". It matches the Rfam family "Bacterial small subunit ribosomal RNA", at positions 355 to 834 of the family's 1533-position model. The record is from RNAcentral.